UUCAGUGCAGCCUGAGCGCCC
This 21-nucleotide unclassified non-coding RNA is filed under the name Chlamydomonas reinhardtii. RNAcentral describes it as "small RNA Cre_3794". The record is from RNAcentral. Lineage: Eukaryota; Viridiplantae; Chlorophyta; Chlorophyceae; Chlamydomonadales; Chlamydomonadaceae.